CGGCGGUGUUUGGCACCUCGAUGUCGGCUCAUCACAUCCUGGGGCUGAAGUAGGUCCCAAGGGUAUGGCUGUUCGCCAUUUAAAGUGGUACGCGAGCUGGGUUUAGAACGUCGUGAGACAGUUCGGUCCCUAUCUGCCGUGGGCGCUGGAGAAUUGAGGGGGGCUGCUCCUAGUACGAGAGGACCGGAGUGGACGCAUCACUGGUGUUCGGGUUGUCAUGCCAAUGGCACUGCCCGGUAGCUAAAUGCGGAAGAGAUAAGUGCUGAAAGCAUCUAAGCACGAAACUUGCCCCGAGAUGAGUUCUCCCUGACUCCU
RNAcentral lists this ribosomal RNA (315 nucleotides) under Enterobacter cloacae subsp. cloacae. Its description in RNAcentral is "partial 23S ribosomal RNA". It matches the Rfam family "Bacterial large subunit ribosomal RNA", at positions 2509 to 2823 of the family's 2925-position model. The record is from RNAcentral. Lineage: Bacteria; Pseudomonadati; Pseudomonadota; Gammaproteobacteria; Enterobacterales; Enterobacteriaceae.